GCCAGCGUGGCAUUGGGGUUUCAGCGUUGGACUAGGACUCUGGAGAUCAGGGUUCGAUUCCCAGCUCAGCCA
This is a non-coding RNA of Phrynosoma platyrhinos (Desert horned lizard), 72 nucleotides long. Lineage: Eukaryota; Metazoa; Chordata; Lepidosauria; Squamata; Phrynosomatidae. The record is from the annotation of a GenBank genome assembly.